AACACUUGGAAGAACUUCCAAUGCUUCUGGAAAAUUGUCAUGUGUCAGGUAAUACUUCCAAAAGGUGGAUGUAUGCUGACUCCUGAUUCUCUAGCGGUUUCUUGCAGAAGGCUAUGUGAUGUCAAGGACAGAAGACAAACCCUCUUUUCAGGAGCUGAACACCAAGGAGACAGGAAGCUUCCGCAGUGGGUCUUGCGCCUAAUCUGCCGAUCUCUCCUUCAUGAACAGCCUCCUGAGGAUUAUCAACUUGACUGGGCCAUUCAAUGCCCAGACUUUUGGUCAAACAGCAUUCCAGGUGUGUCUGUGAAGACGUUUCUGGAUGAGAUGAACAUUUGCAUUGGAAGGCAGUAAAGCAGAUUGCCCUCCUUAAUGUGCAUGAGCCUCAUUCAACCAGUUGAAGACCAGAAGGAACAAAAUGAUGGGUAAGAGGGAGCGCCUCCUGUCUGACUGAACUGGGACAUUGGUCUUUUCGUGCAUUUGA
RNAcentral lists this long non-coding RNA (481 nucleotides) under Equus caballus (horse). RNAcentral's name for it is "lncRNA (ENSECAG00000055769.1)". Lineage: Eukaryota; Metazoa; Chordata; Mammalia; Perissodactyla; Equidae. The record is from RNAcentral.